CGUUGCUUAUUUAGCCAAGUUCUUGUGUAGAGACAUAAUUGUGUGAUGAAGUCUCUUGUCAUUACCCUUUGUGAUUCUAUCUUCAAUAGCCUUCUUAUGCGACAACGCCUUUGGAGAGUAUUGAGACUGAGAAGCAUGAGAAUUGUACUGAAAGUUAUCAGACACCAAAGAACUAUACUCAUGCUUCUAAGUUGCUAAUAGCAUUAUGUCUCUAUGUCUAUGAAUAUUGAGACUUAAGGAAACUAGGAGCUAAACAAUGAAAUGAGAUAGUCGGUGGUUGUAUUAUGCCUCUCUGUGACAACGCCUUUGGAG
RNAcentral lists this long non-coding RNA (312 nucleotides) under Nicotiana benthamiana. RNAcentral's name for it is "long non-coding RNA (NBEN_LNC007310)". The record is from RNAcentral. Lineage: Eukaryota; Viridiplantae; Streptophyta; Magnoliopsida; Solanales; Solanaceae.